UCAUUAAGUGGUUGCAUGCUACUUAAUAGUUUCUCCUCUAUUUCUCCUUUGUAAAUAAACUUUGGCGCGUACUUCGGUACGCGCAUUUUU
RNAcentral lists this non-coding RNA (90 nucleotides) under Simonsiella muelleri ATCC 29453. RNAcentral describes it as "Neisseria metabolic switch regulator b (RcoF1/NgncR163)". It matches the Rfam family "Neisseria metabolic switch regulator b (RcoF1/NgncR163)". From Rfam's summary of the family: Sibling sRNA described and independently named in three publications. NgncR163 is N. gonorrhoeae while the others are N. meningitidis RNAs. Lineage: Bacteria; Pseudomonadati; Pseudomonadota; Betaproteobacteria; Neisseriales; Neisseriaceae. The record is from Rfam by way of RNAcentral.